UUUUUUCUUGAAUUUCCCCUCCAUUUUCAAUCUCUUCAAUUCAGCCAUGGAAACCAUUCUCUCUUCUCCUUCAAUCUCUCCAUUUCUCAACCCAAAACCUUCUUCUUCGAAGACCCUUUUCUCACCUUCUCUACAUGCGCAGCAGCAAAGACAAAGUUCUCUUUUUUGCACCAAAAACAUCACUUGUAGCCUCAAAAAACACAACCCUCAGUUACUAAAUCCAUCUUUACAGGUACCCAGAAGCUGGUUUGCUCAUGCAC
RNAcentral lists this long non-coding RNA (260 nucleotides) under Citrus sinensis (sweet orange). Its description in RNAcentral is "long non-coding RNA (CSIN_LNC001333)". The record is from RNAcentral. Lineage: Eukaryota; Viridiplantae; Streptophyta; Magnoliopsida; Sapindales; Rutaceae.